UUAAAGCUUGCUUUUAAAAGUUAGCGGCGGACGGGUGAGUAACACGUGGGUAACCUGCCUGUAAGACUGGGAUAACUCCGGGAAACCGGGGCUAAUACCGGAUAACUUUUUUCCUCGCAUGAGGAAAAAUUGAAAGAUGGCUUCGGCUAUCACUUACAGAUGGACCCGCGGCGCAUUAGCUAGUUGGUGAGGUAACGGCUCACCAAGGCAACGAUGCGUAGCCGACCUGAGAGGGUGAUCGGCCACACUGGGACUGAGACACGGCCCAGACUCCUACGGGAGGCAGCAGUAGGGAAUCUUCCGCAAUGGACGAAAGUCUGACGGAGCAACGCCGCGUGAGUGAUGAAGGUCUUCGGAUCGUAAAACUCUGUUGUUAGAGAAGAACAAGUACCGUUCGAAUAGGGCGGUACCUUGACGGUACCUAACCAGAAAGCCACGGCUAACUACGUGCCAGCAGCCGCGGUAAUACGUAGGUGGCAAGCGUUGUCCGGAAUUAUUGGGCGUAAAGCGCGCGCAGGCGGUUUCUUAAGUCUGAUGUGAAAGCCCACGGCUCAACCGUGGAGGGUCAUUGGAAACUGGGAGACUUGAGUGCAGAAGAGGAGAGUGGAAUUCCACGUGUAGCGGUGAAAUGCGUAGAGAUGUGGAGGAACACCAGUGGCGAAGGCGACUCUCUGGUCUGUAACUGACGCUGAGGCGCGAAAGCGUGGGGAGCGAACAGGAUUAGAUACCCCUGGUAGUCCACGCCGUAAACGAUGAGUGCUAAGUGUUAGAGGGUUUCCGCCCCUUUUA
This 789-nucleotide ribosomal RNA is filed under the name Heyndrickxia shackletonii. RNAcentral's name for it is "bacterial SSU rRNA". It matches the Rfam family "Bacterial small subunit ribosomal RNA", at positions 73 to 843 of the family's 1533-position model. Lineage: Bacteria; Bacillati; Bacillota; Bacilli; Caryophanales; Bacillaceae. The record is from RNAcentral.